This 75-nucleotide transfer RNA is filed under the name Sphaerodactylus townsendi. RNAcentral describes it as "tRNA-Thr". Lineage: Eukaryota; Metazoa; Chordata; Lepidosauria; Squamata; Sphaerodactylidae. The record is from RNAcentral.
GGAGGGGCCAUGGCUCAGUGGUAGAGCAUCUGCUUGGUAUGUAGAAGGUCUCAGGUUCAAUUACCAACAUUUCUA